GGACAACCACUUUUACCUCAGGUUGACGAUUUUAUAAAAGUUAAAGUCUAGUGUGAGUGUAAACAUUUGUUAAAAGUUUUAGUGACGAACAGAGUAAAUAUAGAAAAUUUAUACAUAGAAGAACUAAGCCUAUAAUACAACAGCUUUAAGCUGGUACUGCAACUGAACGAGACAAAGUACUUUUCUAGUGAUAUCUCUCUGCAUGCUGUAGCUGUUAUAGUUACAUUUCAUCUACUGUAGUAGAACACUCUACGUCCUCAUUAUCUACAGACAACUGUAGGAUCCUAAUGUUUAAAGUCUUUCAAAUGGUAAACAACAUAAGGUACAUGUAGAAACAUUCUUAGAGUGAUGUAUCUAUCUGUUGUACAGUAACGUACUCCUUAUAGCAUCAUUAAUAAAACUGGACCAGAUUAGUUUGUCAUUUAUCUCAGAAAUCAACAUGAAAUGUAUAUAGCUUUAAAAGGAUUAACUUAUGGAUAAAUCCUUUUUUUUUUACAGACUUGGAACAACCAAGAAUUCCCGACAGUAAUGGAUGGAAUAUCAUAACCAGAACACAAACUGAUAUGUUUCACAGCUGAAGAAAUUCAUUCUACUCAUCUCAUGUAAGUUUAUUUUGAACUAUUAACUAGAUGGUAUAAGUCUUUGUUUUAAUAUAACACAAGUUAGUGGUACAUCCCUCUCUCCAACACUUGCACUGAGACUUAGUAGAAAAAUGUAAGUCUCAGUGCAAAAAUUAGAGAGAGGGAUGUACCCUUAAUGUGUGUUUUAUUAAAACAAACUAUUACUUGUUUUUAAUUAAAAUUUAUAACAUUUUAAAGAAAUGUUAGUUUAUUGCUAUUAACCAUGUGUGUUCUGUAAGUUAAAAAAUCUUAGUGUAUAAAAGUUUGAAAAGUGUUAUAAUAAAAAAUUCAACAAAAGA
This is a long non-coding RNA of Limulus polyphemus (Atlantic horseshoe crab), 919 nucleotides long. RefSeq lists it as uncharacterized. The record is from RefSeq and is a predicted model, not a curated record. The transcript is spliced from 2 exons. NCBI's taxonomy places the organism in Eukaryota, Metazoa, Arthropoda, Merostomata, Xiphosura, Limulidae.